GGAAGCGCUGAUAUGCGCUCCUGUUUAAUGCAUUCGGGACCCGUCACUCGGUAGUGGUUUACAUUUUUCACUACCGUUAAUCAACCUAGCGAUCCAGCAGGUGUGUUACUGCUAAUGGACUUCCAUUCUGGCUUAUAAUUAGUUUUAAUUAAUUACUAACAUCUGUCAAUUGCACUAAUGAAACAGGAAGUGAGGUCACAUGUCAAUUCAGAUAUAAGGAGCCUGUUUCUAGCCCCUUAAUCACUUCUCUCCUCCUGACUGUGAUGACCAGAUGAUCCAGGGAUAAGCUGUAGCAGAGUGCUGCUAUUGGAUCUUUAUCCAUUUUUUUUUCUGUAUACAUCCCUGUACACAAAUCUGUCAUUUACGCUGUGAGAAGAGAGAUGUUUUUCUAACCCAUUUUUGGGGUCCAUUUUAUUUUGAAUACCGGUAUAGUCUUUGGAUUGUAUAUCGUAAAGAGGUUUUCAAUUCCCCACUCUGUCAGAGUUCUGACUCGUGUUUGAAGAUAACCGAAUAGGGAUCCUAUAGAGAGGCGACAGUUGUUCCAAAAAGCACAGUCCCAUUUUGCAGAGUGGUUUAUGACAGCCUAAACGGUUCUAAAGACCAUUAUAGGUUCCCCAUCAUUUUUAAAAAUCUUCUGAUAGCUCCAUAAGUGGAUACCAGCCGGCCAAACGCUGCUAGACAGUUUUUUAUCCCCUGAAGAAGUCCGCUUAGGAUGAAACGCGUAGGGUGCAUCGAUCAUUGUACACUAUCCUCUCUGCUUCAAGUGUCCUCCUAGAGCUCACACCGUUAGGUGAUUAUUUCUGGUGAGUGGGUUUCUCUGUAGGCCCCAACUGGGAAGACUCUGAGAGGACUAGACCCCAAGAGAACCCACUAUAUGUGGAUGAAUUGAUUAUCACUCAAACAUCAUAUAUUUAUUCUUGGUAAAUCUUGAAACGACAUAAAUGCGCACACGUUGAAUACUCAAUGAGCCCCACUGCCUAAGGACACCGCACCCUCUUCUAGGUUACCUAGUAGAGCUGGAAUGGUGGGUACAAGCCCCAUGGCAAAGAUGGCACCACAUAAGCGGAGAGGGCACAACAAGACCAUACAUAAGUGGAGAUGGUGAUUGGAUGAGCCCCGUUAUGCCUCUAGCAUCCCAAAUGUUUCCGGGCAUAUGAGGUGGAGUAGAUCACAUACCCAUGGAAGUCCUUUGAGGUCACUUGGGAAGAUAUCCAAAUUGAAUGGUGGGAAGAUAAGCAGGAGCAGAUGGUGAUGCUAACAGAUGGCUUUGUUGAAUGCCUCAGGCAGGUUAGAGCUUAAGGUAAGGACCAAUGGAGAAAUGCUGAUACGCCAAGAGAUAUUGUGAUUGGCCCAAGAGGUCUAUGAACAGUGAGCCAAAGAAGAAGCAGCAAAUGCAGAGAUUGCCCAUCCAUCGAGCCAGCCGAGGCCUACUGUAUAUAUCUGUUUCCUUUGCUGACCUUCCAGAUGAGGAACUGGGUAGUUACUGCCAAUAUGCAGAGGAGGCCAGCCUUGACCAGGUGGAUGCUAGAAUGCAUUUCUGUAACCCCUUCUCUCCUCCCAGGUAAAUGUCACAAUGAGACACUCAGUGACCAGCCUGAGCUGUGUUACAUCUGGCCAUUUGCGGGCUUGGAGGAUGAGGAAUUGGCAAGUCAAUGCCAGGUCACAGAGGAUUUACUAGAAAUCCUGGAUCAAGGCUGUUACAGUGACCCCUGUAUGGAUCCUACAGCUGGGUGGAUGUCAGGAGACGCCGCUUGCAAUCGCUUUUUACAGCUGAGGGAGAAGUAGCUGCAGAGCCCGUCUCCGACACAGCUACAGUCAUUGAGUUCCCCUUACACUGACCUUGAGGACCUGCAGAGCGGCAGUGAGACGUUGGGGAAGUCGCCACGAUCACCCUACCACCACUCAAGCAACCAAACCUACAAAGAAAUCACUCAGGUGAGCACCAACCAGACCUAGCUACCUGGCCAUUCACAAUGAUGUGUUUGGUGGAGGGGGAGUUGGCUGAGGGAGAGAACCCGGAGAGGCAUCACUCAGUCCUGACAGCUUCUGUGCAGCCACAUGGUGAAUUACCUGAGAGAACAGCAGACGCGGCUUUUGAGGGGUAAGAGUUGAGAGAUAAAUUGUUGGACUUCACUACUUCCCCAGGUUCAAUUUGUCGCUAGCACUAGGGCAGUAGCCCCAACAUGUUACUGCCAUUGGGCAGAUUAUGGGGAUACAGUCUGGAGAGGUGGGAGAAGAGACCCGCACUGUAUCAGAAGUCACGUCUGAACACCAGCGUGUGCCCGUCCUUAUGCAACUGGCAAUUUUAUGUUUGCCGCCGAUGGAGAAAGUACACACUCCUGAAGCGCCAGAUGUGAGGGAUGCAAUACGCCAUCAGGAGGAAAAAUGCUCCGAGCCUGCGUCACACUGUUUACUUGUUCUCAGGUGGGAGCACACAGAGCGAGUGUGUUUUUAGCCCCAGUGUUACUUGCUACCAGGGACAUGUAAUUGGGAAAGUGUGGAGGACUCAAAAUUGUGGACUGCCAAUCAUAAUUCUACAAGACCCAACAGGCCGCGCACUAGACCCUUCAGUAACAUGGUCCUCAGUACUUCUGUCCCAGGUGGGGUUAUAGCACCAGUUAGACUGUACUAUCCGGAAACAGAGCUAAGAAGUGAGAGAGGAAUGUGAGGAAAUGAGAGGUCUGUGACAAUAUAGUGAUGCCUCAUUUCCUGAGUGAAUAUGUACCUUUUACCCCCAUGCCCCCCCCCCCCCGUAUAACUAUCUACAUUCCAUAUAUGUGAAUGUUCAUUCCUCUUAGUCUGUUGCUGCUCACACACACACUGAAUAUUGGUAAUAUUAUAUACAUAUAAAUAUGAGAUUGUGUUGUCUUAUCUGUUACACUGGGGGGUAUUUCUGUCAGCAUUACAGCUUCCUCUGUUUAUUCCCACCACAGGGGACACUCAAGGGUUGAGUGAAUUAAGGUCCCAUCGUGCAACACACGUGAUCUUUGUUUACCCAAACCACAGUAGAUCUAGCUAUGUGUAAUGUCUCCUCCUUUGUUCCAAAUCUGGUCAGGCAUUGGUGGCUCUCUGUGUCUGAUUUAAUCACCUUGAUUGGAAAAUGUGUAUUAUAUUUAUAUGCCUUAAAACACAGGAGAACAUCAAACACAGCCCUAUAGCCUGAGGAUAAUCUGGGGGUAUACGAUAGAGCAGCUCAGUGUACACGGGAGAUUCUCUGCUCCUACGCUAAGAGGUGCUGCUCUGCCAGGGGCUCAUUGUGGGAACUGACAAGUUGGGUUGUAUUACUGAAGCGUGAUAUGCUGUUUUUCAUACAUUCACCCAUAGCCACUGUUGGUCUUCUUCAUCUACCACUGUGCCUGAGUGAUUUGGAACCCUGUAUCUUCACAUUCUCUAUCUUUCCUGGCACUCACCUUCAUAUUGCUCCCUGCCUCAGGAGCGGUCUGCUAGACUCUAGGCCUGCUUCUAUACAUGGGAACAGUGUCCUUUACUCCAGCUCUUGGCAGGUGUUACAGGUGAAAGUUCUAGCCAACACCGGCAUCCUCUGCUCUGGCCUAUCUUUCCUGCCAGUGACUGUCUAUGCUGUUACAUGGGCGAUCCUUUCACCUCCACAAAUCAUCCUGAGGCUGGCUUGUGUGGGAAGACACUUCCGCUGACUCUGCUUCCAUACCCCUGACAUGAAUCCCCUACUGAGUGUCAAGAAUCAGUAUUCUGCUCAACGAUUCCUUUUAACACGAUGGUGAACUAAUCUGUGGAAGUCAGGUGUUCAUGCUGUUUGUCAGUCUCCCCGAAUCCACUGCUGUCCUCAGUGUACUCCAUUUCAUGAACCCCGAUGGUCUCCCUCCAUUCCAGACACUGAACACCUGGACACCUGCUAUCAGCUGACCGCAGAUUCUCCAACCACAGCCUCCGCAGCAGUCAGCUGAUGCUGCUCUCCAAUCAUUGCUGGCCAGGGGGGGAUAAAAAGGAAGCUCAGGCAAGUAACCAGUGCCUUGAACAACGUAGCUUACUAGACCUACGUCUCCUGGCUCCAGUCCUCUGAGACUUGCUGUCUACCACCAUCCAGUUUCCUAAGGCUACAUCUGAGUUGUGGAACUUCUGGUCUCUGGCAGCUGUGUCUUAGCCAGCUCUCCCUGAGUUAACUCUUUCUGCCUGCAGCGCUAUAGAGGUGUGAGCAUUCGGUGAUUGCAGCAGGUUCUCAGUGCCAGGGGCGGAUUUACCGCAAGGCAACCUAGGCGCUCGCUUAGGGCCUGUAGUCAGGCCCCACGAAAUCCGGCCCAUCCAUCAUGUUUCCUGUUACAGCAGCCAUCCAACUGAGGCCCUGCCCAGUACUCAUCCCAUCACUGACCUCUCCCCAUCCCCACAUAGAUCAAACAACGGCAGGUACUGGGAGGCCUCCCUCAGGUUCUCCCUGAGGAUACUACCGCCGCCGCGACACGCUCAUUCCCCUGCCUCUCCGUCACCUAAUGCUUACCAUGCGCAUCUCCACUAAGUGCUCCUUUCACGGAGCUAUCACCACCCACAGAAAGCAGCCGAGCCCCGUCCAGCCAGUGAUCAGCAGGGAGCCGACUAACACCCAGUUGCUGUUGACAUGGCGGCAGAGACUACAUGGGACACCCGCAGCACCGUCACCCAGGAACAAGGACGCACUAUAUCAGGCAGCAGCAGCUACUAUUCCGCCUGCAGGUCAGGAGCAGCUACAAUGGAGGACAUGUUCCAACUGCACAGACCUACUCCAGGACAUUCUCCAGCAAUAAAGCUCCGUCGCUGAUACAACCAUCAUAGAAACUUCACUUCUAAAUGUUCCAGCUUCAUCUACAUCCACUUACAAGAUCAGCAACACUAUAUCCAGAUUAUUAUAUCACAUGGUUACAGAUGAAUGCGUCUCACCGUGUCACUCCUGCGCCAUCUUCCCACUGCGCUGUCACUGAGUGUAAUCCGCCGGCUCCGCUUCAGUUAUUGGAUUGUAUCAUUAGAACACAAGUACAACGCUUUACCUGAUACACAGGACUCAGUGCAUAAUGGAUAUUAUAUAAUCUGUACGGCUCUGCACAAUACAAAGCGAUAUUGUGUCAUCUGAUCUGUGUUUUGACAUUGGCCAUGGACUGGAACAAAGCAGAAAUAAUGUUACCUGUUGGAAUAAUGGCUACAAUAUGCCGUUUUACAUAUACUCCCUUUACCAAUAAACUUUGUUUUCAGCAUUAUUUUAGUGAUUUGUCUGGAUAAGGGGGAGGCCUGGCUCAGAUAAAAUGCAGCCCACUUCAAAGGCCUGAGAGUUUGCAUGGUAUAUAUACUGUAUUUACACACGUUCUCAAAUGUCUUUGUAACGGUGGAUAUGGAACACUGUAUUCUGGUAUGGGCAGGCCAUUGAUGGAAAACACUGUGGACAGGCACACUGGAAUGGAUGGGCCAUUGAUGGGAUAUACUGUGUACAUGAAUAGCCCAUAAUGUAGUCUGUAUAUGUAUGUAUGUACACUGGAAGGGAUGGCCCAUUGAUGGGAACAAUUAUUUACAUGAAUGGUACAAAAUGUGUUUUGCAUAUACUAAUAUACUGGAAUGGAUGGCUCAUUGAUGGAAUAUACUGUAUACAUUGAUGACACGCAGCGUUGGGUUAUACAAAUUGGCGCUUCUGAUCAUGU
Molecule: long non-coding RNA, 5636 nt
Organism: Pseudophryne corroboree (corroboree frog)
Lineage: Eukaryota; Metazoa; Chordata; Amphibia; Anura; Myobatrachidae
Exons: 9
Source: RefSeq, a predicted model, not a curated record